AUACGUAGGUGGCGAGCGUUGUCCGGAAUUACUGGGUGUAAAGGGUGCGUAGACGGGUAAGGCAGUCAGAUGUGAAAUACCGAGGCUCAACCUUGGGGGUGCAUUUGAAACUCAUUGCCUUGAGUGCAGGAGAGGAAAGCGGAAUUCCUAGUGUAGCGGUGAAAUGCGUAGAUAUUAGGAGGAACACCAGUGGCGAAGGCGGCUUUCUGGACUGUAACUGACGUUGAUGCACGAAAGCGUGGGGAGCAAACAGGAUUAGAUACCCUGGUAGUCCACGCUGUAAACGAUGGAUACUAGGUGUGGGGGGUAUCGACCCCUUCCGUGCCGGAGUUAACGCAAUAAGUAUCCCACCUGGGGAGUACGACCGCAAGGUUAAA
Molecule: ribosomal RNA, 377 nt
Filed under: uncultured bacterium
Lineage: Bacteria
Description: bacterial SSU rRNA
Rfam family: Bacterial small subunit ribosomal RNA
Source: RNAcentral